GGCCCUGGCUCAGAGCAGGGCCUCAGGGAGGGCAGGUGAUGGGAGUUCUGAGCUGAAUUGUCUCAUAGUGAACCAAAUGGACUCCUGAACCCACAUACUGUCCUUCCUAUAGUUAGGACCACCUACCCUGAAGAUACAAUGACACAGCCCCACAGACUGGUCACCUGCCCAAGAGGAAGCCAAAAGGUCUUGGACAGGGACCAGAGACCAUCACAAACUUGUUCAGGGAACUGACUCGAUUCUCUGAUGAGCUGCAAGUAACAGCAUCCUCGGCUCUGUUCCCAUUACCAGCAAUCCCGGAUGGAGCGGGAGCAAAUUCAGAAGCAUUUGCUGUGCCAUGCGGCAGCAUCCGCAGUCAGUGGACCUCUGGUGUAAGAGGUGUAAGAACUUCCCUUCCAGGGUUACCCCACCAGCACUGAGUUCCAUGCUGAAGCACAAAAGUCCCAUCAAGAAGCCUCGUGGUGCUGAGCAAGUCUCCGCCUGGCUAGCACGCUUCAUUGCUGGUUAAUACAGUGCGUGUUGGCUUAGCCGACCGGGAUGACAGCAUCUCAAGCAGGGGAGGAAGCAUCCAUUCAUCAUCUCCACGAGUCAAUCGUACAGCAAUAAAAAAUAAAAUGAGAAGAGCUCUCCUCAGUAGCAAGCACAAGUCAAACCAACAAUUAUGUUUUGUUAAACCAGACCCGCAAAUAAGUUUAUGUGACCCACCCCCCACCUCUGUCUGCACUCCAGCCCUAGCGGGAGGGGGAAGAGAUGGACUCUGGCAGGAUGUGCUGGUCGCUGCCAAUGGUACACUUAUCAGGGGCUCUGAGCAAUGGGCUGAGACACAGGCGCCAGAGAACUUCUCCAGGUUCUUCCCUUCAUGAAGCCCCACAGAGCCGUUCCCUCCUGCUGUCCUGGGGAAGAAGGGGGUAGACGAGCUAUCUGUAGAUCCAUUGGAUCAUUAUGAGCCUCUAAUUUUCCUCCUGAGGCAGAGGAAAUGGUCAGAUUAUAAAAGCAUAGCAAGAAGAACGCAGGGAGCAAUAUAAGCACAGUGUCAUUACUGGGGACAACUUCAUCAGCCAGUCGGAGAUGACUACAGAUCAGGUUCCCAGGCUCAGACUCAUGAGCAAGAAAGAAACUGGAAGCCUGCAUUGUAGGGGAUCUUUGUCUUGCAGCAUCGUCACAAGAAGCUAUCAGAUACACUCUUCUUUCUCCCAAGCCAGCUCUGAGCCCUGGGAGAUAAAAGCUGCAUCAGAUGGAGCCAAGAUCAUUGAGUGAAG
Molecule: long non-coding RNA, 1259 nt
Organism: Myodes glareolus (Bank vole)
Lineage: Eukaryota; Metazoa; Chordata; Mammalia; Rodentia; Cricetidae
Source: RefSeq, a predicted model, not a curated record